RNAcentral lists this ribosomal RNA (477 nucleotides) under uncultured bacterium. RNAcentral's name for it is "partial 16S ribosomal RNA". It matches the Rfam family "Bacterial small subunit ribosomal RNA", at positions 30 to 507 of the family's 1533-position model. The record is from RNAcentral.
AUUGAACGCUGGCGGCAUGCCUUACACAUGCAAGUCGAACGGUAACAGGUUAAGCUGGCGAGUUGCGAACGUGUGAGUAAUGUAUCGGAACGUGCCCAGUCGUGGGGGAUAACUGCUCGAAAGAGCAGCUAAUACCGCAUACGACCUGAGGGUGAAAGCGGGGGAUCGCAAGACCUCGCGCGAUUUGAGCGGCCGGUAUGAGAUUAGGUAGUUGUUGAGGUAAAGGCGCACCAAGCCGACGAGCUGUAGCUGGUCUGAGAGGACGACCAGCCACACUGGGAGUGAGACACGGCCCAGACUCCUACGGGAGGCAGCAGUGGGGAAUUUUGGACAAUGGGCGCAAGCCUGAUACAGCCAUGCCGCGUGCGGGAAGAAGGCCUUCGGGUUGUAAACAGCUUUUGUCAGGGAAGAACAGGUUCUGGCUAAUACCUGGUACUCAUGACGGUACCUGAAGAAUAAGCACCGGCUAACUACGUG